Molecule: ribosomal RNA, 899 nt
Filed under: uncultured bacterium
Lineage: Bacteria
Description: bacterial SSU rRNA
Rfam family: Bacterial small subunit ribosomal RNA
Source: RNAcentral
AGAGUUUGAUCCUGGCUCAGGAUGAACGCUAGCUACAGGCUUAACACAUGCAAGUCGAGGGGAAACGACAUCGAAAGCUUGCUUUCGAUGGGCGUCGACCGGCGCACGGGUGAGUAACGCGUAUCCAACCUGCCCAUCACUUGGGGAUAACCUUGCGAAAGUAAGACUAAUACCCAAUGACGUCUCUAGAAGACAUCUGAAGGAGAUUAAAGAUUUAUCGGUGAUGGAUGGGGAUGCGUCUGAUUAGCUUGUUGGCGGGGUAACGGCCCACCAAGGCGACGAUCAGUAGGGGUUCUGAGAGGAAGGUCCCCCACAUUGGAACUGAGACACGGUCCAAACUCCUACGGGAGGCAGCAGUGAGGAAUAUUGGUCAAUGGGCGAGAGCCUGAACCAGCCAAGUAGCGUGCAGGAUGACGGCCCUAUGGGUUGUAAACUGCUUUUAUAAGGGAAUAAAGUGAGCCUCGUGAGGCUUUUUGCAUGUACCUUAUGAAUAAGGACCGGCUAAUUCCGUGCCAGCAGCCGCGGUAAUACGGAAGGUCCGGGCGUUAUCCGGAUUUAUUGGGUUUAAAGGGAGCGUAGGCCGGAGAUUAAGCGUGUUGUGAAAUGUAGACGCUCAACGUCUGCACUGCAGCGCGAACUGGUUUCCUUGAGUACGCACAAAGUGGGCGGAAUUCGUGGUGUAGCGGUGAAAUGCUUAGAUAUCACGAAGAACUCCGAUUGCGAAGGCAGCUCACUGGAGCGCAACUGACGCUGAAGCUCGAAAGUGCGGGUAUCGAACAGGAUUAGAUACCCUGGUAGUCCGCACGGUAAACGAUGGAUGCCCGCUGUUGGUCUGAAUAGGUCAGCGGCCAAGCGAAAGCAUUAAGCAUCCCACCUGGGGAGUACGCCGGCAACGGUGA